This 304-nucleotide unclassified non-coding RNA is filed under the name Limnodrilus hoffmeisteri complex sp. III. Its description in RNAcentral is "partial internal transcribed sapcer 1". The record is from RNAcentral. Lineage: Eukaryota; Metazoa; Annelida; Clitellata; Tubificida; Naididae.
CGCGUAGGGGGGACACGUCCCCGCGUACACCGAACACUGUGCGCUACCCGCAAUCAAUUUGUUACCGUUGGCAAACAGUCGAAUACCCGUUGACGCUUCGGGGUACCUGUCGCACGUCGGCCGUCCUUGCGUGCGGUGAGCAGGCCGCGGGCUUCGGUCCGCGGUCGGCGAAGGUCCAACGAACCGUCCGCGCGAKCUCUCGAGCGCGCGCGUUCGGUCGCCCCGUCGCAUUCUCUGUCAGUCAGUCAGUUACCACGUACGGUCGCAUCAGUUACCAUGUCAGGACAACGAGAGUUACACAGAC